Trichomycterus rosablanca is the source of this 366-nucleotide non-coding RNA. The record is from the annotation of a RefSeq genome assembly. Lineage: Eukaryota; Metazoa; Chordata; Actinopteri; Siluriformes; Trichomycteridae.
AUGAUCUGGGUUCUUCUAGUUCUGUUCUCCUCCGUGUCCUACGUGCAUGGUGACAUCAGCCUGACCUCCUCUCCUGCUCAGGCUAAACCUCCUGGAGAUUCAGUGAAGCUGUCCUGCCAGGUUUCUGGCUAUAAGCUCACCGACUACGGUACAGGCUGGAUCAGACAGCGUCCAGGGAAAGCCAUGGAGUGGAUCGGGAUCAUAUGGGGUGGUGGAAGCAUAGCUUCUGGAGAUUCCUUCAAGUCUCGCUUCAGCAUCUCCAGAGACACGAACAACAACGUUUUGUUCUUAGAUAUCAGCAACCUGGUGCUUGAAGACGCGGCUGUUUAUUACUGUGCAAAGACUCACAGCUGUAGAAGUCAGUAG